CCUUAACAAUCGAUGUAUCGCUAGUGCCGUGAGUAAAGUUAGAUGGGGAUUCUCAAUCAUAUUAAUGUACCUGACAAACAUCAUGCAUGGGGAUUUUGGAUUUUACAACCAUUUAAACCGCAAGGGAAACUAUUUUAAGGGCUUCCAUCUUGUCUCCUGAACGUGGGCAGCUGUACUUGGUCGUCGAGUGCCUGGAACUCUUUUCGGUUUGGCACUCGCGUGAAUGCCGGUAAACCUUAGACUACUGCCCGUCCCAUUUCCCGACCACCUACCCACCUACACGAACAACGUUCGGGAGAUAUAAACUACCGAACAAUAAAGAGAUUCCCUUGUAUGGGAAGAACCCUACGAAUAGAGACCGGCCAGAGCACCAAUUUCCCUGGAACUGUCUUGGGCUAGCGCCUCGCGUCUGGCCCUUCAAAACUUUACCACAAUGCCAUUCCCGUUCUGCCAAACCGAUCUGAGUGAUUCUUGGAUAUGUUGGACAGCCAGCUUGGGGCUGUUGGGGAAUGUACUUUUCGUGGGGUUCUGGGGUAUGGUUAGGGUACUUUGGGGUACAGGCUAUUUUGUUGCAUGUUCUGUACCUAUCUCUCAGGCACAGAUGAUCCUAGGAUUGAAAACCCUGCAUUAUUGAAUGUGAAACCCCUUGCCGGGACUAGGUAUAAAAGCCGUGUAUGUGAAAAAACAGUUGUACUCCCAGAACUGUGUAUCAUCCGGUUGCUGGGGAGGAGGUGUUCUACUUGUUCCUGACUGUACUUUGGUGUAACCAGCGGAGUAGAGUCCCUGUUAAGACUAGAGCUCUGCUACAAGUAUUAUGUUUAACUCCUAAAUUUCAAAGAAUUAAGCGGUGAGACUGCAGGAGUGGAAGCUAUACACACCAAAACCACUUUACUAAGCUAAAGUUUCUUUGGUGCUUAGAGUAGGUUCCCUUUAAAUUCUUAGCAGUGUUUAAAAUGUAUCUAGUUCUGUGGCCGGUUAGUAUUCUCUUGGUUAUUUGAGACGUGUGUCCUGGGGAUACGAUGUGCGAGGUGUAUCUAGUUCUGUGGCCGGUUAGUACUAUCCUGGUUAUUUGAGACGUGUUUCCUGGGGUUACGAUGUGUGAGAUGUAUCUAGUUCUGUGGCCGGUUAGUAUUAUCCUGUUUAUUUGAGACGUGUGUCCUGGGGAUACGAUGUGCGAGGUGUAUCUAGUUCUGUGGCCGGUUAGUACUAUCCUGGUUAUUUGAGACGUGUUUCCUGGGGUUACGAUGUGUGAG
Long non-coding RNA from Pelobates fuscus (common spadefoot toad), 1253 nucleotides. RefSeq lists it as uncharacterized. NCBI's taxonomy places the organism in Eukaryota, Metazoa, Chordata, Amphibia, Anura, Pelobatidae. The record is from RefSeq and is a predicted model, not a curated record. The transcript has 3 exons.